ACUGGCCCAACUGAUUGAUGGUGCUUGCACCUGAUUGACGAUGGAUCACCAGUGAGUGGCGGACGGGUGAGUAACACGUAGGUAACCUGCCCCGGAGCGGGGGAUAACAUUUGGAAACAGAUGCUAAUACCGCAUAACAACAAAAGCCACAUGGCUUUUGUUUGAAAGAUGGCUUUGGCUAUCACUCUGGGAUGGACCUGCGGUGCAUUAGCUAGUUGGUAAGGUAACGGCUUACCAAGGCGAUGAUGCAUAGCCGAGUUGAGAGACUGAUCGGCCACAAUGGAACUGAGACACGGUCCAUACUCCUACGGGAGGCAGCAGUAGGGAAUCUUCCACAAUGGGCGCAAGCCUGAUGGAGCAACACCGCGUGAGUGAAGAAGGGUUUCGGCUCGUAAAGCUCUGUUGUUGGAGAAGAACGUGCGUGAGAGUAACUGUUCACGCAGUGACGGUAUCCAACCAGAAAGUCACGGCUAACUACGUGCCAGCAGCCGCGGUAAUACGUAGGUGGCAAGCGUUAUCCGGAUUUAUUGGGCGUAAAGCGAGCGCAGGCGGUUGCUUAGGUCUGAUGUGAAAGCCUUCGGCUUAACCGAAGAAGUGCAUCGGAAACCGGGCGACUUGAGUGCAGAAGAGGACAGUGGAACUCCAUGUGUAGCGGUGGAAUGCGUAGAUAUAUGGAAGAACACCAGUGGCGAAGGCGGCUGUCUGGUCUGCAACUGACGCUGAGGCUCGAAAGCAUGGGUAGCGAACAGGAUUAGAUACCCUGGUAGUCCAUGCCGUAAACGAUGAGUGCUAGGUGUUGGAGGGUUUCCGCCCUUCAGUGCCGGAGCUAACGCAUUAAGCACUCCGCCUGGGGAGUACGACCGCAAGGUUGAAACUCAAAGGAAUUGACGGGGGCCCGCACAAGCGGUGGAGCAUGUGGUUUAAUUCGAAGCUACGCGAAGAACCUUACCAGGUCUUGACAUCUUGCGCUAACCUUAGAGAUAAGGCGUUCCCUUCGGGGACGCAAUGACAGGUGGUGCAUGGUCGUCGUCAGCUCGUGUCGUGAGAUGUUGGGUUAAGUCCCGCAACGAGCGCAACCCUUGUUACUAGUUGCCAGCAUUAAGUUGGGCACUCUAGUGAGACUGCCGGUGACAAACCGGAGGAAGGUGGGGACGACGUCAGAUCAUCAUGCCCCUUAUGACCUGGGCUACACACGUGCUACAAUGGACGGUACAACGAGUCGCAAGCUCGCGAGAGUAAGCUAAUCUCUUAAAGCCGUUCUCAGUUCGGACUGUAGGCUGCAACUCGCCUACACGAAGUCGGAAUCGCUAGUAAUCGCGGAUCAGCAUGCCGCGGUGAAUACGUUCCCGGGCCUUGUACACACCGCCCGUCACACCAUGGGAGUUUGUAACGCCCAAAGUCGG
RNAcentral lists this ribosomal RNA (1403 nucleotides) under Limosilactobacillus reuteri. RNAcentral's name for it is "bacterial SSU rRNA". It matches the Rfam family "Bacterial small subunit ribosomal RNA". Lineage: Bacteria; Bacillati; Bacillota; Bacilli; Lactobacillales; Lactobacillaceae. The record is from RNAcentral.